Molecule: ribosomal RNA, 253 nt
Filed under: uncultured bacterium
Lineage: Bacteria
Description: partial 16S ribosomal RNA
Rfam family: Bacterial small subunit ribosomal RNA
Source: RNAcentral
UACGUAGGGUGCAAGUGUUAAUCGGAAUUACUGGGCGUAAAGCGUACGCAGGCGGCUAUGUAAGACAGGUGUGAAAUCCCCGGGCCUAACCUGGGAACUGCAUUUGUGACUGCAUAGCUAGAGUCCGUCAGAGGGGGGUGGAAUUCCACGUGUAGCAGUGAAAUGCGUAGAGAUGUGGAGGAACACCGAUGGCGAAGGCAGCCCCCUGGGAUGAGACUGACGCUCAUGUACGAAAGCGUGGGGAGCAAACAGG